This 446-nucleotide ribosomal RNA is filed under the name uncultured bacterium. Its description in RNAcentral is "bacterial SSU rRNA". It matches the Rfam family "Bacterial small subunit ribosomal RNA", at positions 398 to 842 of the family's 1533-position model. The record is from RNAcentral.
CGCGUGCAGGAUGAAGGCUUAGGGUUGUAAACUGCUUUUGUACGGAACGAAACGGCUCCUUCUAAUACAAGGGGCUAAUGACCNUNCCGUAAGAAUAAGCACCGGCUAACUACGUGCCAGCAGCCGCGGUAAUACGUAGGGUGCGAGCGUUAAUCGGAAUUACUGGGCGUAAAGCGUGCGCAGGCGGUUAUAUAAGACAGAUGUGAAAUCCCCGGGCUCAACCUGGGACCUGCAUUUGUGACUGUAUAGCUAGAGUACGGUAGAGGGGGAUGGAAUUCCGCGUGUACAGUGAAAUGCGUAGAUAUGCGGAGGAACACCGAUGGCGAAGGCAAUCCCCUGGACCUGUACUGACGCUCAUGCACGAAAGCGUGGGGAGCAAACAGGAUUAGAUACCUGGUAGUCCAGCCCUAAACGAUGUCAACUGGUUGUUGGGUCUUCCUGACUCA